This 253-nucleotide ribosomal RNA is filed under the name uncultured bacterium. RNAcentral's name for it is "partial 16S ribosomal RNA". It matches the Rfam family "Bacterial small subunit ribosomal RNA", at positions 524 to 776 of the family's 1533-position model. The record is from RNAcentral.
UACGUAGGGGGCAAGCGUUAUCCGGAAUUACUGGGUGUAAAGGGUGAGUAGGCGGCAUGGUAAGCCAGAUGUGAAAGCCUUGGGCUUAACCCGAGGAUUGCAUUUGGAACUAUCAAGCUAGAGUACAGGAGAGGAAAGCGGAAUUCCUAGUGUAGCGGUGAAAUGCGUAGAUAUUAGGAAGAACACCAGUAGCGAAGGCGGCUUUCUGGACUGAAACUGACGCUGAGGCACGAAAGCGUGGGGAGCGAACAGG